Molecule: ribosomal RNA, 405 nt
Filed under: uncultured bacterium
Lineage: Bacteria
Description: partial 16S ribosomal RNA
Rfam family: Bacterial small subunit ribosomal RNA
Source: RNAcentral
GAUGAACGCUGGCGGCGUGCCUAAUACAUGCAAGUCGAGCGGAGCGGGGACGGGUGAGUAACACGUGGGUGACCUCCUAGAAGACUGGGUUAACUUCGGGAAACCGUAUCUCGACCGGACACUUAUAGAUGGAUCCGCGCUGCAUUAGCUAGUUGGUAAGGUAACGGCUUACCAAGGCAACGAUGCAUAGCCGACCUGAGAGGGUGAGCGGCCACACUGGAACUGAGACACGGUCCAGACUCCUACGGGAGGCAGCAGUAGGGAAUCUUCCGCAAUGGGCGAAAGCCUGACGGAGCAACGCCGCGUGAGUGAUGAAGGUCUUCGGAUCGUAAAGCUCUGUUAUUAGGGAGGCGGUACCUGAUCAGAAAGCCACGGCUAACUACGUGCCAGCAGCCGCGGUAAUUC